GAUGAACGCUGGCGGCGUGCCUAAUACAUGCAAGUCGAGCGAACAGACGAGGAGCUUGCUCCUCUGACGUUAGCGGCGGACGGGUGAGUAACACGUGGAUAACCUACCUAUAAGACUGGGAUAACUUCGGGAAACCGGAGCUAAUACCGGAUAAUAUAUUGAACCGCAUGGUUCAUUAGUGAAAGACGGUUUUGCUGUCACUUUUAGAUGGAUCCGCGCCGCAUUAGCUAGUUGGUAAGGUAACGGCUUACCAAGGCAACGAUGCGUAGCCGACCUGAGAGGGUGAUCGGCCACACUGGAACUGAGACACGGUCCAGACUCCUACGGGAGGCAGCAGUAGGGAAUCUUCCGCAAUGGGCGAAAGCCUGACGGAGCAACGCCGCGUGAGUGAUGAAGGUCUUCGGAUCGUAAAACUCUGUUAUUAGGGAAGAACAAAUGUGUAAGUAACUAUGCACGUCUUGACGGUACCUAAUCAGAAAGCCACGGCUAACUACGUG
RNAcentral lists this ribosomal RNA (497 nucleotides) under uncultured bacterium. RNAcentral's name for it is "partial 16S ribosomal RNA". It matches the Rfam family "Bacterial small subunit ribosomal RNA", at positions 28 to 507 of the family's 1533-position model. The record is from RNAcentral.